This 272-nucleotide unclassified non-coding RNA is filed under the name fungal sp. RNAcentral's name for it is "partial internal transcribed spacer region". The stretch from base 1 to 46 matches the Rfam family "Eukaryotic small subunit ribosomal RNA", at positions 1786 to 1831 of the family's 1831-position model. Lineage: Eukaryota; Fungi. The record is from RNAcentral.
AAGUCGUAACAAGGUUUCCGUAGGUGAACCUGCGGAAGGAUCAUUACUGAGUUUUGAAAAGGGUUGUAGCUGGUCUUUUAAUAAGACAUGUGCACGCUCUGCUCAUCCACUCUUAACCCUAUGUGCACCUGUGUAGAGGUUUGGUGAAUCUUGGCCGAAAGGCUGAUAGGAUCCUACUUCUAUGUCUUUUAUACAAACGCUUUAGUUAUAGAAUGUUAUCUUGUGUUUAACACAUUAUAAUAUAACUUUCAGCAACGGAUCUCUUGGCUCUC